AUUGAACGCUGGCGGCAGGCCUAACACAUGCAAGUCGAGCGGAUGAAGGGAGAUUGCUACUGGAUUCAGCGGCGGACGAGUGAGUAAUGCCCAGGAAUCUGCCUGGUAGUGGGGGAUAACGUCCGGACAAGGGCGCUAAUAACGCAUAAGAACAGAGGGAGAAAGUGGGGGAUCUUCGGACCUCACGCUAUCAGCUGAGCCUAGGUCGGAGUAGCUAGUUGGUGGGGUAGAGGCCUACCAAGGCGACGAUCCGAAACUGGUCUGAGAGGAUGAUCAGUCACACUGGAACUGGGACUCGGUCCAGACUCCUACGGGAGGCAGCAGUGGGGAAUAUUGGACAAUGGGCGAAAGCCUGAUCCAGCCAUGCCGCGUGUGUGAAGAAGGUCUUCGGAUUGUAAAGCACUUUAAGUUUGGAGGAAGGGCAGUAAGUUAAUACCGUGCUGUUUUGACGUUACCAACUGAAUAAGCACCGGCUAACUUCGUG
This 484-nucleotide ribosomal RNA is filed under the name uncultured bacterium. RNAcentral's name for it is "partial 16S ribosomal RNA". It matches the Rfam family "Bacterial small subunit ribosomal RNA", at positions 30 to 507 of the family's 1533-position model. The record is from RNAcentral.